Molecule: long non-coding RNA, 455 nt
Organism: Carassius auratus (goldfish)
Lineage: Eukaryota; Metazoa; Chordata; Actinopteri; Cypriniformes; Cyprinidae
Exons: 3
Source: RefSeq, a predicted model, not a curated record
UCAGGAAGCUAAAGGGAGGUUCAGUUCCCUCCGUGUUUACAUGGACUCAACAGCCAAACGAAAGGAAAACCUUACGAUCACAAGAAAAAUGGCAUUUAGAGGAAGAACAUGAGGAAGAUGAAAGUUCUACAAAGGAUGGACCAAGCAACGAAGAAUGGUUAGUAGAAAUCUAUCAUACAAAAUGUGUACCAUAUUUUCUGCACUAUAAGGCGCACUUAAAAGCCUUUAAUUUUCUCAAAAAAUGACAGUAAGCCUUAUAAUCCGGAGCGCUUUAUAUAUGGAUCAAGGCGCUCAAGGCGUCUUUAUCUGACUGUUUAGUUGACAUUCCCUUUAUCACAGCUCUAUCUAGUGGAUGCAUAACACAAACCCAGUCAAACGUUCGACUGCAGUAUCUUCUAUUCUAUGCGCCUUAUAAUCCAGUGCGCCCUAUAUAUGAAAACAGUUCUAAUAGGCCA